RNAcentral lists this ribosomal RNA (460 nucleotides) under uncultured bacterium. Its description in RNAcentral is "partial 16S ribosomal RNA". It matches the Rfam family "Bacterial small subunit ribosomal RNA", at positions 338 to 795 of the family's 1533-position model. The record is from RNAcentral.
CCUACGGGAGGCAGCAGUGAGGAAUAUUGGUCAAUGGGCGGAAGCCUGAACCAGCCAAGUAGCGUGCAGGAUGACGGCCCUACGGGUUGUAAACUGCUUUUAUACGGGAAUAACGCGCCUUACGUGUAGGGCUUUGCAUGUACCGUCUGAAUAAGGACCGGCUAAUUCCGUGCCAGCAGUCGGGGUAAUACGGCAGGUCCGGGCGUUUGCCGGAUUUUUUGGGGUGAAAGGGAGCUUAGGCCGCAUGUCCAGCGUGCUGUGAAAUUUCCGGGCUCAACCCGGGCCUUGCAGCGCGAACUGGCGUGCUUGAGUCCGCGGAAAGCAGGCGGAAUUCGUCGUGUAGCGGUGAAGUGCUUAGAUAUGACGAAGAACCCCGAUUGCGAAGGCAGCUUGCUGCAGCGGAACUGACGCUGAUGCUCGAAAGCGCGGGUAGCGAACAGGAUUAGAUACCCUAGUAGUC